UGUUCUGUCUUCUACUCUUGUCUAACUUCUCUUUUUGGGGCAGAUCAUUAGCAAAAUAUUUGAUGCUUUAAGUUGCGUGCAUAAUAUAGGUUUUUCUGUUUGUUUUGGUGUGUUCUAGGAUUUAAUUUUUUGAGUAAAUAAUGUAACUAAUGUUCAGUGCUUGCUCUGUUAUAACAUGUCUUUUAUAUGCAUAAUUCUUUUAGCUGGAAUUUCUCUAUCAAAUAUAGUUGCACCACCCAUUGUCUCUGGUCACCCAACCAUGUUGCCAUGGACAUUUGGGUUACCAAGCGAUUCUUGGUAAAUAGCUACCUUCAUUGAUGUUUUUUUUAUAUCACGUUCAUGGAUUUGGAUGAUUUUGUUAUGUAUGAAUUCUGGCAAAUGAUGACGAAUUUGGAAUCUACAAAUCAAUAUCGUGGUUCCUCCUAGGAUUUUGUGUAGAAUUUUUGCUCAAAUAUUGUUGUUUAAUUGAUGAUGAAUUGCUUGCUUUGUCUAGGGAUUGAAUUUUAUGGUGUUUCAUGUGGUCUUUGAUAAUGAUCAUGAUGGUUUUGAUUUGUUACUUCCUUGCACAUAUUGGUAUCAGUUGGUUUAAUAAUUAUUAAUUGGGUGUAUGAUGCUCGUGGUGAUUUAUAAUUGAAUUUUUGUAUAUAUUGCUUCAGCUACUAUUGAUAUGAAUGUGUGAGUAAUAUCCCAAUGUUUAGUUUGAAUAUCACUCUUAAUAAUGUAUAGUUAAAGAGAACGAAUGAGUUUUUUCGAUUGAAGAAAUGAUGGUGAGAAAAUUGUGUUUCUAUUUCUUUGUAAUGUAGUGACUUCCAUAAGGUAUUGGAAACUUUUAUUCACCAAAAAAAAAAAGAACUAUUAGUCAUCUAGGUUCUUACAAGAGAACAAAUAUGGUGAAAUUUCUCAUGAAUGAGUGUGAGGAAUUAGAAAGGAAUAAAAUUUCCUCUGUCGCUUAUUUAUAUAUCCUGCAGGUUUGAAGGCAUUCAUGGGUUUUACAGGAGAAUUAUAUUACACCAAGCCUUCUAAAUAAUGUCUCAGCGAUCUCAAUCACGUUUAUUGUGUAUGAAAACGUCUUAAACCCGUGGAUUGAACUACAUUGUUAUUUCAUCAUUGCAUAAGCUGGAGGUAAAAUGCAGAACAUUUGUUAACCAAGUCACUUAUUUCGGACUAAAAAAAAGGUAACAACCAAUUUGUUAACCAUGUUUGCACUUUCAAUAUUGUUUAAUUUUUUUGUGUUACACUUUCAUAUUAACUAUAGUUGCAAAAAUAGGUAACAAGAAAUUUAUUUUUUUAGAACUUAAAACAACAAUGGUUGGAUAUCCAGUUGUGAUUUAUGCAUAUUUUUAUUUGUAUUGGCUUUUUGUUUGAUUGUGUUGAAAGAAAGUUAUAGUUCAAAGUGUUAGAGGCUUGGCCACCUUAGAUUUGCAAUUUCAUUAUGUCUUACUCUUCCGUGCAUUAUAAUUAUAAGUGUGUAGAAAAACAUGUGGUGUUUGUUUAAUUAUACAAUGUACUUACUUUCCCCUCA
This is a long non-coding RNA of Cucumis sativus (cucumber), 1522 nucleotides long. RefSeq lists it as uncharacterized. The record is from RefSeq and is a predicted model, not a curated record. The transcript is spliced from 2 exons. Lineage: Eukaryota; Viridiplantae; Streptophyta; Magnoliopsida; Cucurbitales; Cucurbitaceae.